Mercenaria mercenaria is the source of this 568-nucleotide long non-coding RNA. RefSeq lists it as uncharacterized. The record is from RefSeq and is a predicted model, not a curated record. Lineage: Eukaryota; Metazoa; Mollusca; Bivalvia; Venerida; Veneridae. The transcript is spliced from 2 exons.
AUCCUAAUUGUUCAAGGAAAUUCUAUUAGUAGCCUAUACUAUCGUGAAAGAAUACAAUCAGAUGUGAAAGUACAUACUUAAAUGGCGGAAGAGAUGCUGGCUGUAUAUAAAUGUAAAACUCGACUUAUUGGAUAACAGAAAGAAGUGCGAGCUGAGCUGCUGGUACAAGAUCGCUUGUAGCAUUGAGUAGAAGAGGAACACAGUUUUCUACUUACCACGGAGCGAUAAUGUACCACUCUCUUUUGUUAUCAGCCUUGUGCGUCAUUGGUUUGACAGCAGGUGUUAUUAAAGGUACGACUAAAAUAGAUGUAUUUUGAUGAUGAGUAGCAGCUUGUUAUAAGCUUCCACACCAGUUAUUAGUGUGUCAACGCGGCAGUAUUCUCGAUGUGUAGCUUAUUUACCAUAUCUAUAGAUCAAGAAAAUGUUUCUUUAUGAAAAUUACAUAUCAUAUCGUUACAUAUAAGCCAAGAUUAUACAUUCUUAUUUCCUGGUAAGACUUUUAACCUUAUAUAUCUAGGACGUUAAUUCUUGCUUCCGAUAUAAAUUUUAUCAACAAGAACGUAUCUAA